This is a long non-coding RNA of Triplophysa rosa, 2817 nucleotides long. RefSeq lists it as uncharacterized. The transcript is spliced from 4 exons. Lineage: Eukaryota; Metazoa; Chordata; Actinopteri; Cypriniformes; Nemacheilidae. The record is from RefSeq and is a predicted model, not a curated record.
GUAUGAGCCAGUCCCAGACUGCUUUGAAAGGGCUGUAGUGCAGUAUUGUGAACUUGUCGAUGCGUGCCGUCUGAAGCUUGUACUCGGGCAGCACGUCUGCACCGAGCGACAGGACCUAAAACAGAAAAGACGUUAGAUUGUGUGCCUGCAGUGAGAAUCUGAUUCAUAAUCGACCGCAAUUUGUUCUUUGUUGAAUUAUUGUCUGUCAAGAGAAAAAACAAAAUGUCUAUCUACUGUAGCAUAUAUCCCAUUAUUGGUUUGACAUAUUUUGGGGCCUAUAAAUAUUAGAAAUGUUAACGGAAUCAAAUAUUCGAUUCGGAGGACUUUUAUUGUUUAUUGUUUUUACUUGACAGCUGUCCGUCAAAUCACAAGUGUCUCGAAUCAUUCCCUCUCGUUGUCAUUAUUUCAUUCCAGCUGAUGCAAUAUUUCACGGAGACAGUCAGAUCUUCACAUUUUCACAUCAAGUGUACUGUCUCUGGGAGCCUGCGAGCAAGGCAUAAAUAUUCAUAUCUUUAGAGUUGUCUAUACUGGCAGAAAUGGUCAUCUUACAUUACCUUUUUGUCAUCCAUUCCAGGUUAAUUCUGUUAAAAAGUUGUCUAGGAUUUAGUAUCCCGCUCGAGGGCUAAACAGUAAACAAGACUUCUGCCAAAUGUUACAGGAAAUGAUUUAAGAGCAAAACCCGUUUAGUGCUGUUCUCAGUGCUUUUUUCUCACUACUUUUUUUUUUUUUUUACCGAAUUUGGAGUUACUGACUCUUUAUAAUGUUGUUUAUUUCUCCAUAUACCCAUAUUAAACUGAUUUUAUUUCUUUGACAGCAAUAGUUCGUAUAGUGAAAUUUUGUAAAUAUAUUUUGUGUGCUUAAACAAUAGAAUAAAGUUAAACACUACACUACAGGUUAAAAAACUAAUAAAUAAAACAAAAAACGACACUAUUUCAUUUAGGUGUCUUUUGUAAUCUAAACUAUUCAGAAAAAACUCUGUACUGGGUUGUUUCCACGUCACUAGCCGGGUUUCCAUCCAAACGUGAUGCAAAUCUUUGUAAAGUUCGCAAUAACAGAAGGAAAAUCAAAAGCAAAUUGGUGCGUUUCCAUCAAGUCUGGAUCAUGGUGGUAUUGGUAACCUAGUAACCAACAGUAAAUAAAAAAGAUCCGGAAACCAGAAAGACACCAUCAGUGGUAACAGCCGCUUAGUCCCGUGGGUUUUUCGGCGUUCAAACCCAAACGAUUUUCACUGGCGAUGAGCCGAGUUAACAUGCAAAUUCACUCCCUGACAUAGAUGACGCUUAGUGAAAAACAGAAAUACCCCGGUACACUAGGUGGCGCUGCGCAACUUUAUGCUUCUGACACUCGCUUGUCAUAAUUUGCUUUUUUGCGAAUUAAGGGAUUUUAUUUCGAAAAUUGCCAUUUCCAUCACUCGUUUCUGAUGUGAAACUUCAAGAUGCGCAUAAAACCAGGGUGAUGGAAACCGGCUACUGUCUCCCAGCAUCAGUUGCAUUUGUUACAUUAGUUUUGCGUUUUUUCUUUGGAUGAAUAUAAAUUCUGUUACAGUGAAGCAUAUUUUUUAAGCAUUUCUAUUGCACAGGUGUUGAAUCAAAGCUUAAACAUAAAGAUGACAUUAAUUAAUAACCGUGAUAAGUGUUAUGUUAAUACUACACACACAAUAUUAUAAAUAAUAAUUUAUGGUUGACACAUCAACAUAGUAGGUUGCAUCCGUUUAACGUUGAGCUUUUACAGCCACAAUGGUUACAAACGGUCUGGUUGCCUCCCUACGCUCGUAUUGAAUGUGAUUCAUUGACCAAAAAAAGAGAAAAGACAAAAUAAACUAAAAAAGAAUUUGACUGGCAGCAUCAUUUAAUAUAAUUUCAACAGAUUUUGCAAGAAUGUUAUUUUGAGUUUUCUUGACCACGAUGUGUAGUGAAAAUCUGAUAUUGUGACAGGCCUAAACACAUUGUUUUUCUAUACAAUAUUAAGGUUUACUCUUUACCAUUUGCAAAGCCAUCAAAUAUCAGAAAUAAUUUAGAAACGGCAUUGGAAUGAUAAUAGUGAGUAAUCCAGUCAGUGUGUGUCUGUGAUGGAGUUCUUCAUCUUUCUACAGGAGUUAACCAACUUGGACAGUCAGCAAAUGAGGCGGCUUUUCUUCCUAAAUACUUCAUUAGAAAUCAUGACGCCAGCUAUAUCAGUUGCCUAAAUCUAUUUUUUCUCUCUCCUAAGAAAGUGAUGAAUUAUGUAUCUCCUCCUCUCGUCCGGCUCUCACUCGAGCAGGCAGGUUGGAAAGGUAAUGUGAGAAUCAAUCAGAUGUGACAUUAAACUAAAUGACCUCUGAGGAGUCGACGUUUGCUGCCGGAGCACUUCUGAUGGACCGCUGGUGUUCUCUGGAUGGGGUGUCAUCGACUUCAAUGUGUCCUGUUUCCAUCACAGCUGCUCGAGAUGCGGAUACAUUUAACGCCAGGUUCGAGUCGGAGGUCGAUCCUAGAUAACUGGACUUGAAAUGGUUGAAUGGACCUGACAGUAAGAAAAGCAACAUUGUUAAAGAAGAGAAAUACUCUCAGAAGACGAAAGUGGCUGUCGUGAUUAACAGCCGCCUGAAGUCAUUCAGCGUGUAGCAUUGAUUUUCUGUCCCGACCGCGAGUCCGCACAUCAGUCUCAUUUAGUGGAAUGUGAAAGGAAAGUUCCCGUCUCAAGUCUGAACAAUUUAGUCAUUCUAAUCCACCUGAACGCAGUACUUACCUUCACUUGCCUGCCUGUCAAAAAACAUCCGUUUGGAGUUCGCGCUGAGCCCUUCGAUGUCAUGGACGGAUGAAGCUCGUCGUCUGCUGCACA